This 465-nucleotide ribosomal RNA is filed under the name uncultured bacterium. Its description in RNAcentral is "partial 16S ribosomal RNA". It matches the Rfam family "Bacterial small subunit ribosomal RNA", at positions 28 to 507 of the family's 1533-position model. The record is from RNAcentral.
GACGAACGCUGGCGGCGUGCUUAACACAUGCAAGUCGAACGGAAAGGCCCCUUUGGGGGUACUCGAGUGGCGAACGGGUGAGUAACACGUGAGUAACCUGCCCUUGACUUCGGGAUAACUUCAGGAAACUGGGGCUAAUACCGGAUAGGAAUCCUUGCUGCAUGGUGGGGGUUGGAAAGCUUCGGCGGUUUUGGAUGGACUCGCGGCUUAUCAGCUUGUUGGUGGGGUAGUGGCUUACCAAGGCUUUGACGGGUAGCCGGCCUGAGCGGGCGACCGGCCACAUUGGGACUGAGAUACGGCCCAGACUCCUACGGGAGGCAGCAGUGGGGAAUAUUGCACAAUGGGCGGAAGCCUGAUGCAGCAACGCCGCGUGCGGGAUGACGGCCUUCGGGUUGUAAACCGAUUUCAGCAGGGGCGAAGCUUGUGGUGACGGUACCUGCAGAAGAAGCACCGGCUAACUACGUG